AUACGGAGGGGGCUAGCGUUGUUCGGAAUUACUGGGCGUAAAGCGCGUGUAGGCGGAUCGUUAAGUCAGGGGUGAAAGCCCGGGGCUCAACCCCGGAACUGCCCUUGAUACUGGCGAUCUAGAGUCCGGAAGAGGUGGGCGGAAUUCCCGGUGUAGAGGUGAAAUUCGUAGAUAUCGGGAGGAACACCAGUGGCGAAGGCGGCUCACUGGUCCGGUACUGACGCUGAGACGCGAAAGCGUGGGGAGCAAACAGGAUUAGAAACCCUAGUAGUCC
RNAcentral lists this ribosomal RNA (274 nucleotides) under uncultured bacterium. Its description in RNAcentral is "partial 16S ribosomal RNA". It matches the Rfam family "Bacterial small subunit ribosomal RNA", at positions 523 to 796 of the family's 1533-position model. The record is from RNAcentral.